AGUGAACGCUGGCGGUAGGCCUAACACAUGCGAGUCGAACGGCAGCACAGUAAGAGCUUGCUCUUACGGGUGGCGAGUGGCGGACGGGUGAGGAAUACAUCGGAAUCUACUUUUUCGUGGGGGAUAACGUAGGGAAACUUACGCUAAGACCGCAUACGACCUACGGGUGAAAGCAGUGGAUCUUCGGACCUUGCGCGAUUGAAUGAGCCGAUGUCGGAUUAGCUAGUUGGCGGGGUAAAGGCCAACCAAGGCGACGAUCCGUAGCUGGUCUGAGAGGAUGAUCCGCCACACUGGAACUGAGACACGGUCCAGACUCCUACGGGAGGCAGCAGUGGGGAAUAUUGGACAAUGGGCGCAAGCCUGAUCCAGCCAUCCCGCGUGGGUGAAGAAGGCCUUCGGGUUGUAAAGCCCUUUUGUUGGGAAAGAAAAGCAGCAGGUUAAUACCCCGCUGUUCUGACGGUACCCAAAGAAUAAGCACCGGCUAACUUCGUG
RNAcentral lists this ribosomal RNA (492 nucleotides) under uncultured bacterium. RNAcentral describes it as "partial 16S ribosomal RNA". It matches the Rfam family "Bacterial small subunit ribosomal RNA", at positions 29 to 507 of the family's 1533-position model. The record is from RNAcentral.